UGGGGAAUCUUGGACAAUGGGCGCAAGCCUGAUCCAGCCAUGCCGCGUGAGCGAUGAAGGCCUUAGGGUUGUAAAGCUCUUUCACCGGUGAAGAUAAUGACGGUAGCCGGAGAAGAAGCACCGGCUAACUACGUGCCAGCAGCCGCGGUAAUACGUAGGGUGCAAGCGUUGUCCGGAAUUAUUGGGCGUAAAGAGCUCGUAGGCGGUCCGUUGCGUCUGCCGUGAAAACCCGGAGCUCAACUCCGGGCCUGCGGUGGAUACGGGCGGACUAGAGUCCGGUAGGGGAGACUGGAAUUCCUGGUGUAGCGGUGGAAUGCGCAGAUAUCAGGAGGAACACCGGUGGCGAAGGCGGGUCUCUGGGCCGGAACUGACGCUGAGGAGCGAAAGCGU
This 390-nucleotide ribosomal RNA is filed under the name uncultured bacterium. RNAcentral's name for it is "bacterial SSU rRNA". It matches the Rfam family "Bacterial small subunit ribosomal RNA", at positions 355 to 762 of the family's 1533-position model. The record is from RNAcentral.